RNAcentral lists this long non-coding RNA (284 nucleotides) under Erythranthe guttata (spotted monkey flower). RNAcentral's name for it is "long non-coding RNA (EGUT_LNC001691)". The record is from RNAcentral. Lineage: Eukaryota; Viridiplantae; Streptophyta; Magnoliopsida; Lamiales; Phrymaceae.
GCCACCACCCAUGGGCCGAAAUCCUCCAACGUCACUUCGGCCACCCCUCAUCGAUUGAAAUCCAUCACCACCCAUUGGUGGAUACCCUCCCCCAUCAACUCUUCCGAUUGGUCGAAACCCUCCUCUUCCACCACCGCCACUCAUCGGAGAAAACCCUUCUUCACCAUCCACGCCACCAACAGUAGGUCGAAACCCUCCAAUUCCAUCACCAAUUGGUCUCAAUCCUCCUACCCCUCCAUCCCGACUAGACGGCUGAGGGUAGGGCGGCGGGCUAUCAUAAGGCC